CUACUCUUUGUCGAAAGGCUAUAAUUGACGGCAUACACAGACAGACGCCAUACAGAAUAUGUUUUGUUUGUUUUGUUCUUUACUACCUUAUGCACAUUAGUAGGCUUUUCAAAAUAUUCGUUCAAAUAAUUAUUCUCCGACAAUUGCAUGGAAACCCCACAUAACUUCUAUUGAUUAAUAAUAACAAAAAUGUCACUAGGACUUACCUGCGCAGCCAUAAAUGAGAGAUCCAUUGUGAUACGCGUGUGAGGACACCUUUGUCUAUCUUGAAACAGUGUCGAGUCGCCCUUGUAUUCCCCAGAAGGACAUUAGAACGUUCUUCCCAUCAAAAUUGCAUUUUCAGAUCCAGACAACGUUUAUAGCGUAUGAAAGUGCAGCCGGCUAGGCGACUAUGGAAUUUGAACAGACGAAAGCAUUUACAGAGCGAGGGAAAGAGCGCAACAGCCGAGAGAGAAAGAGAGAGAGAGCCUUUAUUAUCAACAGAACCACAAGAUCCUGAUGUCGUCGCACCUUUCGCCCCCUUUUUGAAUAGCCUACAGUGACAUGAACCCUAACUGCUAAUCACGCAGUGUUUUCCUAGUGAUGACGGAGUCUAACAGAAAGUCCAGACUGUCACGGCAGUCAGAUGAAUCCAGUGCAGUCUAACUGUAUGAGCGAUGACCCCCAAGGCUCAUCAGACUGCCAUCCGAUAAGGAGGUGGACAGGGUGCGUCCCACUCACUUCACUUCACGGCCUCAUUAACUCUACCGUGCAUGAUGUCACAUCUUUUUUAACCGUCCUGCAUAAUCACUCCAGGAACCACUCGACACAACUCGUUAUGACAAAUAUUUUACACAUUAACCCACCUACGGCAUACUAAACAGCCACAAAAGAGCAUAAAAACGUAUUGUCAGACCAUAUAAAAUGAACCUAUUGAUUGACAGAUACCAGCUUUGACUUAAUGUUGUGAAACAUGGAGCUGGUGGGCAGAGUAGCAACUCAGUUUUUUUUCUGUCAGCUGAUCACUGAGAUGAGGGGAAGUAGACAAGGGAUGUGUCUGAGACAACUGCAAGAGCUGGCAAGGCAUUCUAGAUCAGGGACAUUCAAGCACCUUACAAUAU
Molecule: long non-coding RNA, 1100 nt
Filed under: Salmo salar (Atlantic salmon)
Lineage: Eukaryota; Metazoa; Chordata; Actinopteri; Salmoniformes; Salmonidae
Description: lncRNA (ENSSSAG00000099249.1)
Source: RNAcentral